Long non-coding RNA from Helianthus annuus (common sunflower), 582 nucleotides. RefSeq lists it as uncharacterized. NCBI's taxonomy places the organism in Eukaryota, Viridiplantae, Streptophyta, Magnoliopsida, Asterales, Asteraceae. The transcript has 3 exons. The record is from RefSeq and is a predicted model, not a curated record.
CACCGGUGGUGGAACUUGAAUUUUAAGUUGGCCUUCAUCUCUGACAUUGCAUAGUAGGUUCGGGUUAAAGGUGGCAAAAUGAGUGGGUCAACGGGUCAUGCACAUUGCCUGAAGGGUGAAGUCGAAGCAUUUUUUAUAUUUAUAUUAGAUGCUUAGCUAGAUGGCUGAGUGUUUUUAGCCACUAUAACAAGAAAAUUUAGAGGAUGCCUAUGGCCUAUGUGAAGCUAUUGUGUUACCAGAUGGGAACAAAAGCUCUAGACAUCUCACUUUCCAUAGAUGAUAUUUGGGGACAAUUACUUCUUAAGCACAUGGUGAAAAGGGUUCAAAAGUAAGUGAAACUCUUGAUGUGCUAAAAGAUUAAAGACUCAACCGUAGGGACCAAUUAGAAUGGGGAUGAGAGACAAGUCCACGAGCAGCUGGCGCCACGGAGCCAAGCACAUCAGGAUGCCUCCAUCAUUCUCCAGAUAAAGAAAGUUAGUUGGGAGUUCUUUAAAAGAAGAUGAGAGAAAUUGACACUGAGAUGUAAGCAAUUCAUGUUGAUUAUGAAACAUAUGGUUGAAUGGAGCCUUGAAAAUUUCUUGU